This 255-nucleotide ribosomal RNA is filed under the name uncultured bacterium. RNAcentral's name for it is "partial 16S ribosomal RNA". It matches the Rfam family "Bacterial small subunit ribosomal RNA", at positions 524 to 776 of the family's 1533-position model. The record is from RNAcentral.
UACGUAGGGUGCAAGCGUUAAUCGGAAUUACUGGGCGUAAAGCGUGCGCAGGCGGUUUUGUAAGUCUGACGUGAAAUCCCCGGGCUCAACCUGGGAAUUGCGUUGGAGACUGCAAGGCUAGAGUUUGGCAGAGGGGGGGUAGAAUUCCACGUGUAGCAGUGAAAUGCGUAGAUAUGUGGAGGAACACCGAUGGCGAAGGCAGCCCCCCUGGGUCAAGACUGACGCUCAUGCACGAAAGCGUGGGGAGCAAACAGG